GACGAACGCUGGCGGCGUGCUUAACACAUGCAAGUCGAACGGAAAGGCCCUGCUUUUGUGGGGUGCUCGAGUGGCGAACGGGUGAGUAACACGUGAGUAACCUGCCCUUGACUUUGGGAUAACUUCAGGAAACUGGGGCUAAUACCGGAUAGGAGCUCCUGCUGCAUGGUGGGGGUUGGAAAGUUUCGGCGGUUGGGGAUGGAAUCGCCGCUUAUCAGCUUGUUGGUGGGGUAGUGGCUUACCAAGGCUUUGACGGGUAGCCGGCCUGAGAGGGUGACCGGCCACAUUGGGACUGAGAUACGGCCCAGACUCCAACGGGAGGCAGCAGUGGAGUAUAUUGCACAAUAGGAGGAAGCCUGAUGUAGCAACGCAGCGUGCGGGAAGAGGGCCUUCGGGUUGUAAACCGCUUCCGCCUGUGACGAAGCGUGAGUGACGGUAAUGGGUAAAGAAGCACCGGCUAACUACGUG
Molecule: ribosomal RNA, 468 nt
Filed under: uncultured bacterium
Lineage: Bacteria
Description: partial 16S ribosomal RNA
Rfam family: Bacterial small subunit ribosomal RNA
Source: RNAcentral